GAGGGUAUAGCUUAGUGGUAAAGUGCCUGCUUAACAUGCACGAGGCCCUGGGUUCAAUCUCCAGUACCUCUG
RNAcentral lists this transfer RNA (72 nucleotides) under Camelus bactrianus (Bactrian camel). It matches the Rfam family "tRNA". From Rfam's summary of the family: Transfer RNA (tRNA) molecules are approximately 80 nucleotides in length. Their secondary structure includes four short double-helical elements and three loops (D, anti-codon, and T loops). Further hydrogen bonds mediate the characteristic L-shaped molecular structure. tRNAs have two regions of fundamental functional importance: the anti-codon, which is responsible for specific mRNA codon recognition, and the 3' end, to which the tRNAs corresponding amino acid is attached (by aminoacyl-tRNA synthetases). tRNAs cope with the degeneracy of the genetic code in two manners: having more than one tRNA (with a specific anti-codon) for a particular amino acid; and 'wobble' base-pairing, i.e. permitting non-standard base-pairing at the 3rd anti-codon position. RNAcentral also lists the same sequence under 2 other names. Lineage: Eukaryota; Metazoa; Chordata; Mammalia; Artiodactyla; Camelidae. The record is from Rfam by way of RNAcentral.